Molecule: ribosomal RNA, 444 nt
Filed under: uncultured bacterium
Lineage: Bacteria
Description: bacterial SSU rRNA
Rfam family: Bacterial small subunit ribosomal RNA
Source: RNAcentral
AGCGAACGCUGGCGGCAGGCUUAACACAUGCAAGUCGAACGGGCGUAGCAAUACGUCAGUGGCAGACGGGUGAGUAACGCGUGGGAACGUACCUUUUGGUUCGGAACAACCCAGGGAAACUUGGGCUAAUACCGGAUAAGCCCUUACGGGGAAAGAUUUAUCGCCGAAAGAUCGGCCCGCGUCUGAUUAGCUAGUUGGUGUGGUAACGGCGCACCAAGGCGACGAUCAGUAGCUGGUCUGAGAGGAUGAUCAGCCACAUUGGGACUGAGACACGGUCCAGACUCCUACGGGAGGCAGCAGUGGGGAAUCUUGCGCAAUGGGCGAAAGCCUGACGCAGCAACGCCGCGUGUGUGAUGAAGGUCUUCGGAUCGUAAAGCACUGUCGCGAGGGAAGAUACGCCUGAAGCUAACAUCUUCAGGCUAAGACGGUACCUCGAGAGGAAGC